AUACGGAGGAUCCGAGCGUUAUCCGGAUUUAUUGGGUUUAAAGGGUGCGCAGGCGGGAGAUUAAGUCGGCGGUGAAAUUUUGCAGCUCAACUGUAAAAGUGCCUUCGAAACUGGUUUCCUUGAGUGUAGAUGAAGUAGGCGGAAUUUGUGGUGUAGCGGUGAAAUGCAUAGAUAUCACGAGGAACUCCGAUUGCGCAGGCAGCUUACUAGGCCAUAACUGACGCUCAGGCACGAAGGCGUGGGGAUCAAACAGGAUUAGAUACCCUGGUAGUCCACGCAGUAAACGAUGAUUACUCGCUGUUUGCGAUACACAGUAAGCGGCUUAGCGAAAGCGUUAAGUAAUCCACCUGGGGAGUACGUUCGCAAGAAUGAAACUCAAAGGAAUUGACGGGG
This 393-nucleotide ribosomal RNA is filed under the name uncultured bacterium. Its description in RNAcentral is "partial 16S ribosomal RNA". It matches the Rfam family "Bacterial small subunit ribosomal RNA", at positions 523 to 918 of the family's 1533-position model. The record is from RNAcentral.